UCAAUACCCCCUAAAACACUCAAAACACCACUAAACAAACCAUUUUUCCCCCCAAGUACGGGCGACAGAAAAGGAACCAUCGCGCCAUAGAGAAAGUACCGCAAGGGAAAGCUGAAAGA
This 119-nucleotide ribosomal RNA is filed under the name Totoaba macdonaldi. RNAcentral describes it as "partial 16S ribosomal RNA". Lineage: Eukaryota; Metazoa; Chordata; Actinopteri; Sciaenidae. The record is from RNAcentral.